AGGCACUUCCCUGGAACCUCUGCAAUGCCUGGCCGGUGGCCUCAGGGGUCUGGUGGCCGUGCCAGAGCAAACCUAACUUGCUCAGAUCCAGGGCUGCUUAAAUGCCACUAAGCAGUUCCUUUGGCAGCAAGUGACAGUG
Small nucleolar RNA from Myotis lucifugus (little brown bat), 139 nucleotides. NCBI's taxonomy places the organism in Eukaryota, Metazoa, Chordata, Mammalia, Chiroptera, Vespertilionidae. The record is from Ensembl.